CGAAAGCCUGACGGAGCAACGCCGCGUGUGGGAAGAAGGCUCUUGGGCUGUCAACCACUUUUCUCAGGGAAGAAGUUCUGACGGUACCUGAGGAAUCAGCCUCGGCUAACUCCGUGCCAGCAGCCGCGGUAAUACGGAGGAGGCAAGCGUUAUCCGGAAUUAUUGGGCGUAAAGCGUCCGCAGGGGGCGCAUCAAGUCUGCUGUUAAAGGCUGGAGCUCAACCCCGACGCGGCAGUGGAAACUGGGAGGCUAGAGUACGGCAGGGGUAGAGGGAAUUCCCAGUGUAGCGGUGAAAUGCGUAGAUAUUGGGAAGAACACCGGUGGCGAAAGCGCUCUACUGGGCCGUGACUGACCCUGAGGGACGAAAGCUAAGGUAGCG
Molecule: ribosomal RNA, 379 nt
Filed under: uncultured cyanobacterium
Lineage: Bacteria; Bacillati; Cyanobacteriota
Description: bacterial SSU rRNA
Rfam family: Bacterial small subunit ribosomal RNA
Source: RNAcentral